CAUGCAGGCAUGAGUAGCGAUAAUUGAGGUGAGAAUCCUCAACGCCGAAAACCCAAGGUUUCCUACGCGAUGCUCGUCAUCGUAGGGUUAGUCGGGUCCUAAGUCGAGUCCGAAAGGGGUAGACGAUGGGAAAUUGGUUAAUAUUCCAAUACCAACAAUUAAGCGCGAUGUGGGGACGCAUAGAGUUAAUCGAGCUCACUGAUGGAAGUGUGAGUCGAAGGACGUAGGUUGUAAUUUAGGUAAAUCCGGAUUACAAUAGACCGAGAUCUUACAGGCCGAACAAACUUUUCGGAGUGCGUUUGGAAUCGAUGAUACUGUCGUGCCAAGAAAAGCCACUAAGUAUAUUAAUUGUUGCCCGUACCGUAAACCGACACAGG
Molecule: ribosomal RNA, 377 nt
Filed under: Malaciobacter molluscorum
Lineage: Bacteria; Pseudomonadati; Campylobacterota; Epsilonproteobacteria; Campylobacterales; Arcobacteraceae
Description: bacterial LSU rRNA
Rfam family: Bacterial large subunit ribosomal RNA
Source: RNAcentral